RNAcentral lists this long non-coding RNA (2452 nucleotides) under Lactuca sativa (garden lettuce). Its description in RNAcentral is "long non-coding RNA (LSAT_LNC006096)". Lineage: Eukaryota; Viridiplantae; Streptophyta; Magnoliopsida; Asterales; Asteraceae. The record is from RNAcentral.
AUUUCAAAGUAAAAUGCCUAGAAAAGAAAAUAAUGUAAGAACUUUUUAACAAAAUGUCUUGAUAUGAAAAUAUUUGAAAGUAACAAUGUUGUAAAGGAAAAAAAAGGUACAAAGGUUUUAAUUGCGAUGAUUAUCAAAGGGAAAUGUGAUUUUAAUAAGAAAUUUGAAAGUAACAUUGUUGUUACAGAAAAGAACUAAAAAAAGUGCAAUGUCAUAAUUGACUUGAUUUUUAAAGAGAAAAUGCUUUUUUAUAAAAAAAACAGAAUCUAAAAUGCAUAGAUAUGAAAUGCUGAUGAAUGUAAACUAUCAUACAAAAACAAGAAUGAAGAAGACACAAGAAAAUAUAAAGAUGUUUAGUAUAAUUUAAGAAAAUACCUGGAAUAAGACCUGAAAGUAUUUUGGUAUCUCUCAGUAAACUUGGAGCAUAAGGAAGUUUCAGUAUCUCCACCAUAACUGACAAGAACUGAGAACACACAACAAAAUAUACAAAAUUUUAGUAUCACUCUCAAUUGUAUCUUACAAUGUCAAUAUUGAGUUUAUUCAAAUUGGAAAAGAGUGAAAACAGUAGAACAUACGCAUCACUAAAAAAGAAUGCUCGAAUCUCAACUUAAAUGUCAAAAGCCUUGGAGUUUCAUAUUCAAAUAAUUGGUGCCUGUUAUACAGAAAAAAAAUUUAACAAAAGAUUAACUUAACCCUAAAAGAGGUAGGUUUUCAAGAUCACAAACAUUGGUAUUGUUAAAUGCUGGCAACACAAAGUUCAGUAAGAAACCUUUAAUUUCAUUUUCAAAUAAUUGGUGUCUGAUUCUAGGGUUUUUUUCAGAUUUUUUGUUUAGUUUUCCAUAAAAAACAGGACACUUCAACACACAAAUACCCUAAUAUUAAAUGGUAAGAGUUAACUAUAAGCAUGUUGCCAUUAUGGGAAAAAGUACAUAAGUACAUUGCUAUUAUGCGUAAAAAAUGAAGUACAACACCUACCUUGAUAAAAAUAAAAUAAAAUAAAAUAAAAAGUAUAGCAUGUUGCUUCCUACAUCUUUCCCUAAAAUCAUCAGAUAACAUAAGAUCAAAAAUAUAAAACUGCUUGUAAUCAAAAGGAGGAGCAAAAUCUACCUCACAAUCAGUUUCAAUGGUACUUAUUGGAUUUGAAGGCUUUGAUUCAAUUAUAUCAAUGUAGUAUUUCUUGUUGUAUUAUCCCACAAUGAUGCUAACAACAGGACAAAGUGUUGUGUCUAAUCUGCAUUGAAAACAAGAAAAUAUUAGGGGCGUUUUGGUCUGUUUUUUGAAGAAUGGAAUCUGUCAAUGAAAAUAAGAAAUUCAGGGAAUCGGAAUUGUAAUCUGUCAUGUUUUCGGUUUCGUAUUAUUCUUCAAUUUAGGGUUGCAAAUAGGAGGGAAUGUAGGCUUAAAUUUGGGAUUGUAGUUACUUAGUUUAUCUUUUUUAGAUUCUAAGUUCAGUAAUUAUCUACUCAUUUAUCCAACUUUUUACUUUGUCAUUCCAUUCCAAUCCUGAUAUUUCUCAAACUCAAGAUUGUUUGACAAAGUCCACCAUUCGUUUGUUUGACAUCAAAACUCAAGAAUGCAAACAGAACACCAAAAAGUAAACAUAACCAGGAAACAACAAGAGCAUGAGAUCUCACCAUAUUUACUCUUCUGGCGACACCAAUGGUGAAAAACGAAAUCAAUAAGUAGAGCAACACGCAGAAAGAAUUUUUUUUUUAAAGAAUAGAUGCGCACUACAAAACCACAAAUUCAAAAUCGAAAUAGUUACUUAUUUUGGUGAUCGAUUUUUCACACUAAAUCAAAAUGCAUAGCUAAAAUCGGAGUAGAUCGAUUCAGAAUCUAAGAUUACGCACAGCUUAAUAUCAUAUGAUUAACUACAAAAUAAAUAAAUAAAUCAAGAAGGAAGAAACAGUGUUACCGAAUAAACAAGUGUGAAGAGAUUCGAAUUUUUGCAGGAGAUUUGGAGAGCGGAAAGGCUUGGGGAAAGAGAAAUUGUGGUUGGAGUUUGAUAGAAAUAGGGUUUGGGGGGAAGACAUAAAGGCAAAAAAAAUAUACGUCGGGGUCGUAGUGUGGAUGACACAUUUCCUAAAUCAAAACCAGAAGAAUUUCGUGAAUUGAUUAUAUCGUUUCUAUUAAUUUGGUUUAGAGAAAGGAAUACCUGAAGAAAAAAUUGAGAGCAUCGAGAACGCUUGCUCUCCGACAUCAUCGUCUGUUCCACUGUCGCCAAUUUCUAGAGAUUAGUUAUGUUUUGGAGGUGGCAUUGUUUAUUGGAACCGGAGAAAACGACUAAAAUCAAGUGUUAUUCUCGGAACCCAAGAACCUACAAAGGAAAUCAACAUAUAGUGUGUUUAAAACCUAUAGAAACGCCAAAAAGACGAAGAGCAUACCAACAACAAACACCUGAGGAAAACGAUUAAAGGAGUUCAUGAAAACAAAGGGGAAGAAGAAUAUGAAGAGU